This 470-nucleotide ribosomal RNA is filed under the name uncultured bacterium. Its description in RNAcentral is "partial 16S ribosomal RNA". It matches the Rfam family "Bacterial small subunit ribosomal RNA", at positions 28 to 507 of the family's 1533-position model. The record is from RNAcentral.
GACGAACGCUGGCGGCGUGCUUAACACAUGCAAGUCGAACGAGAUCCAAUGUGUAGCAAUACACAGGAAGAUCUAGUGGCGAACGGGUGAGGAACACGUGAGAAACGUACCCCAGACUUUGGGAUAACAGUCCGAAAGGACUGCUAAUACCAAAUAACGUCGGAAGUCCGCAUGGACAUCUGACGAAAGGGAUUCCGGUUUGGGAGCGUCUCGCGGACCUAUCAGCUAGUUGGAGGGGUAACGGCCCACCAAGGCAACGACGGGUAGCUGGUCUGAGAGGAUGGUCAGCCACACUGGGACUGAGACACGGCCCAGACUCCUACGGGAGGCAGCAGUGGGGAAUCUUGCGCAAUGGGCGAAAGCCUGACACAGCAACGCCGCGUGCGGGAAGAAGGCUUUCGGGCUGUAAACCGCUUUCAGUAGGAACGAAACUGACGGUACCUACAGAAGAAGGAGCGGCCAACUAUGUG